AAAACUUUCAACAACGGAUCUCUUGGUUCUGGCAUCGAUGAAGAACGCAGCGAAAUGCGAUAAGUAAUGUGAAUUGCAGAAUUCCGUGAAUCAUCGAAUCUUUGAACGCACAUUGCGCCCUUUGGUAUUCCAAAGGGCAUGCCUGUUCGAGCGUCAUU
RNAcentral lists this ribosomal RNA (158 nucleotides) under Physcia alnophila. Its description in RNAcentral is "5.8S ribosomal RNA". It matches the Rfam family "5.8S ribosomal RNA". Rfam says of the family: 5.8S ribosomal RNA (5.8S rRNA) is a component of the large subunit of the eukaryotic ribosome. It is transcribed by RNA polymerase I as part of the 45S precursor that also contains 18S and 28S rRNA. Functionally, it is thought that 5.8S rRNA may be involved in ribosome translocation. The record is from RNAcentral. Lineage: Eukaryota; Fungi; Ascomycota; Lecanoromycetes; Caliciales; Physciaceae.